Molecule: small RNA, 489 nt
Filed under: Pongo abelii (Sumatran orangutan)
Lineage: Eukaryota; Metazoa; Chordata; Mammalia; Primates; Hominidae
Description: retained intron
Source: RNAcentral
GGGUUUUGUGUGGAAAAACACCUUGGAGUGUGACAUUUCUGCGAGAAUGCUUAAAUACCGAUUUCCCGCAGGAACAAUGGCGCUGUCUUCAGUGGCACAGCGGAGCAGUUCUGUGAAGAUGCAAAGGUAAGAGCUUAGUUAAGCUUAGUUUCCAAACUAAAGGAGUAAACCUGUUGAUUUACAGGAAUAGGAACUGUUGCAUAGUUUGAAAUUUACUUUUUUUUGUUAGAUACACGAAAAAAAUUCCAGAACAUCUGGGAGAAUAUUUAAUGGAAAAUCGCUUGGUUAAAACCUGACACUUAACAGGUAUGUGUUGUUUUAGUACUUUAUGAUUGAGCAUAGCAUUUAAUCCACACCUAGACUAAACCGAAUUUUUUUUGUCAUUGAACAGCAUUCUGAGUGUGGACGAGUAGCCAGUGAAGAUAAUGAAUGUCGGAUGUCACUGACUAGCAGCUUCAUUUUGAAUGAGGGUCGCUGUCUGCCCAUUGA